This 254-nucleotide ribosomal RNA is filed under the name uncultured bacterium. RNAcentral describes it as "partial 16S ribosomal RNA". It matches the Rfam family "Bacterial small subunit ribosomal RNA", at positions 524 to 776 of the family's 1533-position model. The record is from RNAcentral.
UACGUAGGGUGCAAGCGUUGUCCGGAAUUAUUGGGCGUAAAGAGCGUGUAGGCGGUUUGGUAGGUCCGUUGUGAAAACUCGAGGCUCAACCUCGAGACGCCGAUGGAAACCAUCAGACUAGAGUCCGGAAGAGGAGAGUGGAAUUCCGUGGUGUAGCGGUGAAAUGCGCAGAUAUCAGGAAGAACACCCGUGGCUAAGGCGGCUCUCUAGUACGGUACUGACGCUGAGACGCGAAAGCGUGGGGAGCGAACAGG